CUUAACUUAACCUUCGGGAGGGCGCUUACCACUUUGUGAUUCAUGACUGGGGUGAAGUCGUAACAAGGUAACCGUAGGGGAACCUGCGGUUGGAUCACCUCCUUA
Molecule: ribosomal RNA, 105 nt
Filed under: Salmonella enterica
Lineage: Bacteria; Pseudomonadati; Pseudomonadota; Gammaproteobacteria; Enterobacterales; Enterobacteriaceae
Description: partial 16S ribosomal RNA
Rfam family: Bacterial small subunit ribosomal RNA
Source: RNAcentral